GACGAACGCUGGCGGCGUGCUUAACACAUGCAAGUCGAACGGAAAGGCCCUGCGUUUGUGGGGUGCUCGAGUGGCGAACGGGUGAGUAACACGUGUGUAACCUGCCCUUGACUUUGGGAUAACUUCAGGAAACUGGGGCUACUAUCGUAUAGGAUCCCCUCUUGCAGGGAGGGGGUUGGAAAGUUUCGGCGGUGGGGGAUGGACUCGCGGCUUAUCAGCUUGUUAGUGGGGUAGUGGCUGACCAAGGUUUUGACGGGUAGCUGGCCUGAGAGGGUGAGCGGCGACAUUGGGACUGAGAUAAGGCCCAGACGCCUACGGGAGGCAGCAGUGGGGAAUAUUGCACAAUGGGCGGAAGGCUGAUGAAGCAACGCCGCGUGCGGGAUGACGGCCUUCGGGUUGUAAACCGCUUUCGCCUGUGACGAAGCGUGAGUGACGGUAAUGGGUAAAGAAGCAACGGCUAACUACGUG
RNAcentral lists this ribosomal RNA (468 nucleotides) under uncultured bacterium. RNAcentral describes it as "partial 16S ribosomal RNA". It matches the Rfam family "Bacterial small subunit ribosomal RNA", at positions 28 to 507 of the family's 1533-position model. The record is from RNAcentral.